GCCUUCAGACUCAAACUAAACGUCAGCUUUUCCCGGCUCUCAAGCCUGCUGGUCCCUGAACUAAAACUCACAUUAUCAACUCUACUGGUUCUUAGGCCUUUGGAGUCAGACUGGAACUACAGCAUUGACUCUUCCGGAACUCCAGCUUACUGACUACAGAUCUUGGAACUUUUCAGCUUCCACAACCAUAAUGAAAGCCAAGCAUAUUCCAUCAUUUCCUAAAACCAAGAUAGAGCACAUAUGGGAACUUGUGAAAUAAGGAUGCCCUGCGGUUGUUUUCAGGACUGAAGACAACAGCUCCACGAUGUAUCUUUGCAUAAGAAUACACUUGUAUAAUAAGUUUUUUUUUUUAGAGAAAUUGCAUGUAUCUGCCUUAUAAACUUUUUCAUUCAUUCAUUUUCUUUCUUCCUAAUCUGUUCCAUAAAGCAAAUUUCUAACUUAUUGUUAAUCAAAAUAAUUAUUGAAAUAAUUAGUACUUUCAUAUGAUAAAGAUUAUUUUAAUCUGCAGCUACAAAAUAUGUAACUCAUUAAUAUUUAAACAAUCACAAUUUUCUAUUAACAUUAUAGCAUUUUAUCUACUACUAGAUCAGGAAUUAGCUAUUUUUUGUAAAAUUUCUUUGUAAGGCAAAGCAAUAGUAUUGUAUAUACUUUCCUAAAGAUUGUCAAGUUCAGUUUUGCUUAAAUUUAACAGUACAUGUGACACUUUCUGUUUGAAGAAUAAGUUGGUUUUAAGUUUAUACCAAACAAAAGCAUCUCUUUUGUUUUGCAAAAUCUGAAACUUUGAUCUUUCUAGUUGUGACUUCUUGUAAAUAUGUUUUAUAUAAAUAUUCUAUGAAUUGGUUAUUAACAAGGUAAAGAAAGAUUGAUAUGUAAGCUGAUUCUUAAACAUUAAUUUUCUGGAGAUAAACUUUUUUAAAAUUAUGCUUUAAAAAUAUUUUAACACAUGUUAUCAAAAAGGAACUGAAAUAUCUUAGGCAUAAAAGACAUCUCUAGAGGUCAUUAUUCAGUUUCCAGAAAGUACUGAAACUAUCUCUGACAGAUUGAUACGUUUUCUGCAUUUAUAGCUCUCUGGAGAGAGGUUCUGUAUAUUUAACAAUUCUCACUGUGAGGGAUAUUUUAAGUAUUUCAAAUUUAAAGUGCUCAUGUUUCAGAUUCAGAUUAUUAUUAUCAUCAUCAUUAUUUUGGUUCUGGCUUCAGUAAAAAUGUGAAAAACACUUUUCCAUCUUCUGAUAAUAUUUCAUAUUUAUAAAAUUAUUAUUAAGUUAUAACUCAGCUUUUUCAUUUAUGCUUUAAAUCCUUUUAUUAUCUCAUCACAACCAUCUUUGACUGUUUAUCAGAAAUGGUUCUCUUUUGUACAUUGACCAUUAUUUUAUAGAUCACAUUUAAGUUAAUAUAAAUCAUGCCUAUAAAUUUCAGCCUGCUUAUUUUUUAUAAUCUAGUCAGAUAUCAGCUAGACAUAUUGUUACCAAGUUUGGAGAGCCUUGGGAUAAGCUAGUUUCAAAACUGGCUGUUAGCAUCCCUCAGUUGUGUUUUGGGAGCAAAGGACACCCUUAAAAAAGGGAGGCAGUUAUAUUUUGUGAGCAUUAUAAAAUAAACUUAAAUUCUCAUAAAAUUAGUGAAUAUGUUUGGAACAGUGUGAAUUACGUGUGUGCUACAUGAAGUAUAUAGAAUUCAUUUGAAGUAGGAAGUCUGGCCUUACCUCAAAAGACAGUCAUUCAAUUAAGCAGUUAAACAUAAGCCACCAUAAGAAGUUUUUUUGAUACUUAGAGAGAGAAAGGCAACGUGUAUUAAAAUUCCGGGACCAUUAUCUCAGGAGUGCUGUGUUAUUAUUGACUGGGGGCCUGCUGGGAAGCUAGAAAUAUAUCUAAAAUGUGGCAGGUGGUUAAUUAGAGCAUAUGAAUAAAUAUAUAUAAAUUUGUUAAAGCGUUCACUUAUGGUAAACUAUACCUCAAUUAAAAAGAAAAAAUAUGCACAAAGAAAAUAAAUAAUGAAUGGAAAUAUGAGCCUCUAAAAUCAAAGUUAGAAAAGCAGAUAUUCAAAUUUGCAGAGCUGAUUGUCAACUGGAAUGAUUGUGAUAGAAUCAAGUCUCACUAGCUCAUUGGAAAUAGGAUUUGUUAAGGUAAUGAUGGUUAAUGAUUUUUCAGCAUAAUAACAGCCAAGUUAAUGUAUGGGUGCGUGUGUGUAUCCAUAGGUGUAUGUUUUUACAUGCGUAUUUUUAUUGUAAAAUUAACAUGUUUAUUGAAAACAAGAAAGCACAGAAAAUAUCAACUUAAGUAAAGAUCAACAUAAUUUAGUUCAAAAUUAUAUUCAACAGUGCAUUAUUUCAAUGUUUUUUAUCUUAAUCCAUUUGCUUGAAAGCAUUGAUAUAUGCUCCAAAUUUCCUCCCAGAUUCCACUUGGGGAAAUAUUUAGUAUAUUGGAUUAUGAAAUGAUUUAUCUUUACCUAUAUUAUUAGUAAAGUUCUUAAAAUUUUUAGCCUGUUACUGUCUAUGUGAUUAGUGAUAUUGUUCACAUGACUAAAAUUCAAAGAUAAAAUAUGAUUAUAUUUUAUGGGUGAAAGUUAGGAAGCAAAAUAGCAUAUUAAUACAUUUAACUAAAGUAGUAUUCAUUUGGAUAAUCAAGGUCAAACACUUCAAAAAUAAUAAUUUUAAAGUUAAUGCUUUCAAAAAAUAAAUUAGCAAAAAUUAUUUACUUUGUUUCUUAAAAAGAAGAAUUAUUGAAAAAAAUUCUACCAUCAAAAAAUAGUUGUUCUAUGCCUAGUUUAUUUUAGUCACUGAAUAAGACUGAGCCCUUGACCUCAUAUUUUUUCCUGCCUCACCAUUAGCAGUUAGGUUUAGCUAUGCAAACCUUUAUUUAUUCAACAUAUAUAAAAUACUUAGUAUGCAGUAGAUGUUAUUCUAAGUGCUUGGUAGAUAUCAACACAUUUAAUAAUCAAAACAACUCUAAGAGGUAAUUAGUACUAUUAUCUCCAUUUUAUUACUGAGGAAACCAAAGCACAAAGAGAGAAAGAAAAGAAAGAGAAAAAAGGAAGAAAGAAAAGAAAGAUGAAAGAAAGAAAGAGAAAGAAGAGAGAGGGAGAGAGAGAAAGAAAGAGAAGGAAAGAAAGAAGGAAGAAGAAAGAAAGAAAGAAAGAAAGAAAGAAAGAAAGAAAGAAAGAAAGAAAGAAAGAAAGAAAGAAAGAAAGAAAAAAGGAAGGAAGGAAAAGAAACACAUGGAAAGUGACAGGCUCCCUUUGUAUAUCACCUUGCAUGGUAAAGUGCAGAGAGCUCCAUCAGAGAAAUGCAGUUAAAAUCCAGUAGAUACCACCGUACACCUGAAAGACUUGUGAACAAACAGAUGACAGAAAAACAAAACAAAGCAAAACAGAACCUGAGAAUUUGAAUUGCUGCUUCUUUGGACCUUUUAAGUUGCAUUAUCCCAUAAAAUGUGGUGGAUUCAAUGUUGUAUGGCCUGUAAAACUAAGUAAUGAAGGCUGAUAUGUACCCACCUGGCUCUGUCUUGGGAUCACACAACUUGGGAGCCAAAACAGGUAUAAUUGUGAUCUCUUCCCAGGAAAAAGAAUGAGACUUGGCUGUUCUAAAAAACUACAGCUUGUCCUGUGGAGAACUGUGAUUACUUCUGAUGGAAAAUGACAGGCUGAAUGCCAGAAGGCAAAGCAACUGUUUUCCUAAGAGUCUUAAGACCCUGAAGGACUUGUGCCUCCUUUGGUGAUCUAGGGGAUAAAGAAGUGGAAUGGAAAUGGAGAGGAAUAGCUGGAACAAAAAGGCAAAGAGGUAUAAUCUAUCAUAAAUAUGCCGCCUUUAUAAGCAUGUGUGUACCAAAAAAAAGCCACAAACCAUAUAAAGUGAG
Molecule: long non-coding RNA, 3848 nt
Filed under: Homo sapiens (human)
Lineage: Eukaryota; Metazoa; Chordata; Mammalia; Primates; Hominidae
Description: non-protein coding LINC01322:18
Source: RNAcentral